Molecule: small nucleolar RNA, 138 nt
Organism: Tachyglossus aculeatus (Australian echidna)
Lineage: Eukaryota; Metazoa; Chordata; Mammalia; Monotremata; Tachyglossidae
Source: RefSeq, a predicted model, not a curated record
ACCCUCUCAGGAUUGCACCUGGAGAGUUUCCAGUCCUCUACCAGUCUCAGCUAUGAGAGGGAGAGUCAAGCAGAGGCAUACCCAUUCCAUUCCUCGCUUGGCCGGUGGCUAGCGAGUGGAAGGCAAUCCACUACAAGU